RNAcentral lists this ribosomal RNA (1593 nucleotides) under Triticum aestivum (bread wheat). Its description in RNAcentral is "partial small subunit ribosomal RNA". The record is from RNAcentral. Lineage: Eukaryota; Viridiplantae; Streptophyta; Magnoliopsida; Poales; Poaceae.
AUGCCGCCGCCCCCCGCCCGCCGGCCCGGAUUGGCGCCGCCCCGGCCAGUGGCCACCGCGCCGGCGGCGAAGCCGGCGAAGGGACGAGGAGGCAGCGUCAAACGGCCGGCCAACCGCAGCCGCAACCCGGCCGACAGUUCUACGCGGCCGGUGAAGGUCUCAAAGGCGGCCGCGGCGGCUCGGGGCGACGACUCGCAGACGGUGCGGCCGGCGGCCUCCUCCAGCAGCCACACAUCCAUUCCUCAACCUCCCCCGCCGCGCACCGCCGGCCGUGGACGAAGAUGUGGCCACGCCGACGGCCACCGCCUCCAACAUGUUCGACGAAAUGUCGCAAAGGUUGUUGAUGAUGAAGCUUUCAUGCACGCAACAAAUGUGGCAAAUGAUGAUUACAUAUAUGAGUCACAAGAAUAUGAAACCCAAUAUGAUGAUGACAAUCUUGAUGUGGACGAUGAGGGCUUCAUUGUCAAGGGAAGAAGUGGAAAUUAUAGCACCGCGGAGGAUGUGUUGAUAUGCACCGCUUGGAAGAAAAUCUCUCAAUAUGCAAGCGUUGGAAGCGACCAAACGAAAAUGAUUGCACAAGGAUUGUUUCGGGAGAGGAACAUGAAAGGCGAGAAGAAGAAAAGGAAAGGAAAAGCUUUCACUUUUCAUCACUGCUACAAAGAGCUCAAGGAUGUGGAGAAGUGGGAAACUAGAGAGACUUUUGAAUCGUCGAAGAAGAAGAGUGUGUUGGUUGAGGAUGAAGAAGAUGUCGCCAAUGAAGAGACGAGCCCCACUCCUCACUCCGCGACAAAAUCUUAUAGGCCCGAUGGAAACAAGAAAGUGAAGGGAACCAAGGCCGGAGACAAUGAUCUCAAAGAAGGAUUUGAUGCCAUUGUCAUGGCAAGGAAAGAGUAUGCCGAAGAGAAAAGAAUCUUGAAGCUCAAGGAAAAAGAGGAGAGGAAGGAGAAGAAGGUCGUGGACGACGAGAGGAAGAUGGUUGAAGAGAGGACACUCAAGUUUAUGUUUAUGGACACAUCAACUCUUGAUGCCAAGGCAAAGGCAUAUGUUGAACUUUGUCGCGAUGAAAUGCUCAUGAAGAAGCAAAUGCUCAUGAGGCAAAUGAUGAUGGGAGGAGGCAUGGGAGGUGCCAUGGGUGGUGCCAUGGGAGGAGGCAUGGGAGGAGGCAUGAGAGGAGGCAUGGGAGAUGCCAUGGGAGGAGGCAUGGGAGGUGCCAUGGGCGGUUACAUGAACAUGAUUGGAGGUGCCAUGAAUGGUGCAUUUGGCGGAAACAUGGGAGGUGGCUAUGGUGGCAACAUGGAAGGUGGCUUUGGCGGCAUGGGAGGUGGCUUUGGCGGCAUGGGAGGUGGCUUUAGCGGCAUGGGAGGUGCGUUUGGCGGCAACAUGAUGGGUGGCUUGGGAGGUGGCUAUGGCGGUAACAUGAGUGGCGUUGGAGGUGGAUAUGGCGGCAACAUGGGACGGAAUGAAGAUGCUUCCGGUGGUGCUCACGGCAACGAGAGUUCACCGCUUGUUGAGAACAUCGACAAAGACGGUGGUGAAGAUGAUGAUCGUACCAUGGUUCACAAUGCCGGUGGUGUUGAUGAUCCGCACGAGUAA